CCUACGGGAGGCAGCAGUGGGGAAUAUUGGGCAAUGGAGGAAACUCUGACCCAGCAACGCCGCGUGAAGGAUGAAGGCUUUCUGAUUGUAAACUUCUGUCUCUAGGGAUGUAAAAUGACGGUACCUCGUAAGAAAGCCACGGCAAACUACGUGACAGCAGGCGCGGUAAUACGUAGGGGGCGAGCGUUGUCCGGAAUGACUGGGGGUAAAGGGAGUGUAGGCGGCAUAUUAAGUUAUGUGUGAAAGCCCGCGGCUCAACCGCGGAAUUGCACAUGAACCUGGUAAGCUGGAGUGCAGGAGAGGUAAGUGGAAUGCCCGGUGUAGCGGUGGAAUGCGUAGAUAUCGGGGGGAACACCAGAGGCGAAGGCGACUUACUGGACUGUAACUGACGCUGAGGCUCGAAAGCGUGGGGAGCAAACAGGAUUAGAUACCCGUGUAGUC
This 441-nucleotide ribosomal RNA is filed under the name uncultured bacterium. Its description in RNAcentral is "partial 16S ribosomal RNA". It matches the Rfam family "Bacterial small subunit ribosomal RNA", at positions 338 to 795 of the family's 1533-position model. The record is from RNAcentral.